UGGCGAACGGGUGAGUAACGCGUGAGGAACCUGCCUCAAAGAGGGGGACAACAGUUGGAAACGACUGCUAAUACCGCAUAAGCCCACGACCCGGCAUCGGGAAGAGGGAAAAGGAGCAAUCCGCUUUGAGAUGGCCCCGCGUCCGAUUAGCUAGUUGGUGAGGUAACGGCCCACCAAGGCGACGAUCGGUAGCCGGACUGAGAGGUUGAACGGCCACAUUGGGACUGAGACACGGCCCAG
RNAcentral lists this ribosomal RNA (240 nucleotides) under uncultured bacterium. RNAcentral describes it as "partial 16S ribosomal RNA". It matches the Rfam family "Bacterial small subunit ribosomal RNA", at positions 96 to 334 of the family's 1533-position model. The record is from RNAcentral.